This 1086-nucleotide long non-coding RNA is filed under the name Olea europaea subsp. europaea. Lineage: Eukaryota; Viridiplantae; Streptophyta; Magnoliopsida; Lamiales; Oleaceae. The record is from RNAcentral.
CAAAAAAUCGAAUUGACAUGCAAUAGAAUAUCCAUUUACUAGCUAAAUGUCUAUUAUAAGCAAAUUAAAAAUAGUGUUUAGCAUCAGCAUAAAAAAAAGUGGGAGCUAACGAACUAGGGGAUCUCUCUGAGCAACGACCUCAUCUUCAACAUCUUCAUCGGCAAGAGAGAUGUGAAACCCAACUGCCUCAGACGUUUUCUCUGUUCCUUUUUCUGUUCUUUUAACACCUCUACCAAAAAACGCAAUGUCAAAACCUGGCCACUCGUUGUCAGUAUGUUUCACAAACUCCUCCAAGGCCACUAAUAGGCAUCCUGAGCUAGAGGUCGAACUCAAGAAAGGCCCUCAAAAGAUCCAUUUCCUUAGUUGCUUUAGCUUCAACCUCUUUUACCUUUUUGGUAGCUUCUUCAGCCCUCUUCAUAGCUUCGUUAGCCUUAGCUCUCGCUUCUGCAGCUCUAUUUUCCUCAGUAGAGACCCUCUCGUUUGCCUUUCUUCCCUAAAUCUUCAAGGCUUUAAUCUCAUCCACGAGGCCCAGUUCUGAGGCUAACUUCGCCUCCAAUCAAUCCCCAUCUUAUUAAGGUGAUAUUUGUAUUUCUUCUUUUUUCCCAACAAAUCUUAGCCUUUCAGCCUCCAUGUUUUGGAAAAAGCUUAAGGCCCGAUUCUUUACCUCUAACCUUUUUUUCCAAUUCAGCCUUCACCUGAAAGAAGAAAAUAAUCUGGGUUAUAAAACAAAGCAAAAGUUUCUAAACUACGCAAGCUCGAACACAUCAUCCGUCACUAACAUCAUAUAUAGAAUGUAUUAGAAAAUGAACUUUUAGUUCAACUCAUUCCAUUUCCUAGUGAGGAGAUUGGUGGAGUCUCUAAGGGGAUAAAGAGAGUGUAGCUAUCAACUUCCUGGAUCGUGAUGGAGGUUUGAGGAAGUCCAGGAAUAUCCAAGGUCUUCAGCCCACCAAGAAAUCAAUGAUAGGCCUCCGUAGAUUUGGGCACCAUUCUUAUGACCUCAAGGAGCCUGCCACAAUAGUGAUGGUAAGAGGAAUAGAAACAUGAGUCGACCUCUACAUUGGUACCAGAUGUAAAGAUUACUCAGGA